UGGGGAAUUUUGGACAAUGGGCGAAAGCCUGAUCCAGCAAUGCCGCGUGUGUGAAGAAGGCCUUCGGGUUGUAAAGCACUUUUGUCCGGAAAGAAAUCCUUGGCUCUAAUACAGUCGGGGGAUGACGGUACCGGAAGAAUAAGCACCGGCUAACUACGUGCCAGCAGCCGCGGUAAUACGUAGGGUGCAAGCGUUAAUCGGAAUUACUGGGCGUAAAGCGUGCGCAGGCGGUUUGCUAAGACCGAUGUGAAAUCCCCGGGCUCAACCUGGGAACUGCAUUGGUGACUGGCAGGCUAGAGUAUGGCAGAGGGGGGUAGAAUUCCACGUGUAGCAGUGAAAUGCGUAGAGAUGUGGAGGAAUACCGAUGGCGAAGGCAGCCCCCUGGGCCAAUACUGACGCUCAUGCACGAAAGCGUGGGGAGCAAACAGGAUUAGAUACCCUGGUAGUCCACGCCCUAAACGAUGUCAACUAGUUGUUGGGGAUUCAUUCCUUAGUAACGUAGCUAACGCGUGAAGUUGACCGCCUGGGGAGUACGGUCGCAAAGAUUAAAACUUAAAUGAAUUGACGGGGUCAUA
This 575-nucleotide ribosomal RNA is filed under the name uncultured bacterium. Its description in RNAcentral is "partial 16S ribosomal RNA". It matches the Rfam family "Bacterial small subunit ribosomal RNA", at positions 355 to 923 of the family's 1533-position model. The record is from RNAcentral.